UGCCCAGACUCCUACGGGAGGCAGCAGUGAGGAAUAUUGGUCAAUGGGCGCGAGCCUGGACCAGCCAAGUCGCGUGAGGGAAGACGGUCCUAUGGGUUGUAAACCUCUUUUGUCAGGGAGCAACGCCGGCUACGUGUAGCCGGACUGAGAGUACCUGAAGAAAAAGCAUCGGCUAACUCCGUGCCAGCAGCCGCGGUAAUACGGAGGAUGCGAGCGUUAUCCGGAUUUAUUGGGUUUAAAGGGUGCGCAGGCGGAGGUGCAAGUCAGCGGUCAAAUUGCGGGGCUCAACCCCGUACUGCCGUUGAAACUGGCGUUCUUAAGUGGGCGAGAAGUAUGCGGAAUGCGUGGUGUAGCGGUGAAAUGCAUAGAUGUCACGCAGAACUCCGAUUGCGAAGGCAGCAUACCGGCGCCCAACUGACGCUGAAGCACGAAAGCGUGGGUAUCGAACAGGAUUAGAUACCCGCGUAGC
This 469-nucleotide ribosomal RNA is filed under the name uncultured bacterium. RNAcentral describes it as "bacterial SSU rRNA". It matches the Rfam family "Bacterial small subunit ribosomal RNA", at positions 328 to 794 of the family's 1533-position model. The record is from RNAcentral.